AACGCACAUUGCGCCCCUUGGUAUUCCAUGGGGCAUGCCUGUUCGAGCGUCAUUUGUACCUUCAAGCUCUGCUUGGUGUUGGGUGUUUGUCUCCUGUAGACUCGCCUUAAAACAAUUGGCAGCCGGCGUAUUGAUUUCGGAGCGCAGUACAUCUCGCGCUUUGCACUCAUAACGACGACAUCCAAAAGUACGUUUUUACACUCUUGACCUCGGAUCAGGUAGGGAUACCCGCUGAACUUAA
This 241-nucleotide unclassified non-coding RNA is filed under the name uncultured Pleosporales. RNAcentral's name for it is "sequence contains 5.8S rRNA gene, ITS2, 28S rRNA gene". Lineage: Eukaryota; Fungi; Ascomycota; Dothideomycetes; Pleosporales. The record is from RNAcentral.